This 474-nucleotide ribosomal RNA is filed under the name uncultured bacterium. Its description in RNAcentral is "bacterial SSU rRNA". It matches the Rfam family "Bacterial small subunit ribosomal RNA", at positions 29 to 524 of the family's 1533-position model. The record is from RNAcentral.
AACGAACGCUGGCGGCAGGCUUAACACAUGCAAGUCGAACGCCCCGCAAGGGGAGUGGCAGACGGGUGAGUAACGCGUGGGAACGUGCCCUUCGCUUCGGAAUAGCCCCGGGAAACUGGGGAGUAAUACCGGAUACGCCGUAUUGGGAAAGAUUUAUCGGCGAAGGAUCGGCCCGCGUUAGAUUAGCUAGUUGGCGGUGUAAUGGGACCACCAAGGCUACGAUCUAUAGCUGGUCUGAGAGGAUGAUCAGCCACACUGGGACUGAGACACGGCCCAGACUCCUACGGGAGGCAGCAGUGGGGAAUCUUGGACAAUGGGCGCAAGCCUGAUCCAGCCAUGCCGCGUGAGUGAAGAAGGCCUUAGGGUUGUAAAGCUCUUUCGGACAGAAAGAAAUCGCAUCGGCUAAUACUCGAUGUGGAUGACGGUACUGUCAUAAGAAGCACCGGCUAACUACGUGCCAGCAGCCGCGGUAAU